This 164-nucleotide non-coding RNA is filed under the name Myotis brandtii (Brandt's bat). RNAcentral's name for it is "Archaeal large subunit ribosomal RNA". It matches the Rfam family "Archaeal large subunit ribosomal RNA", at positions 1882 to 2091 of the family's 2987-position model. Lineage: Eukaryota; Metazoa; Chordata; Mammalia; Chiroptera; Vespertilionidae. The record is from Rfam by way of RNAcentral.
GCUUGCCGGACUGUUUAUUAAAAACAUUUUUAUUAAAUAAUUUUUAAUAAUCUAGCCUGCCCUAUGUGAUUUUAUAAAUGGCCGCAGUAUAUUGACUGUGCUAAGGUAGCAUAAUUAAUUGCCUUAUAAUUGAAGGAUUGUUUGAAGGGUAUUACCAGGUGAGU